CUUGAUAUUUUUUUCUAUAAACUUAGUCAAAGUUAACAAAGUUUGACUUUGACCAAAUUUUAUAUGCAGACUAAAAAGAAUGGAGGGAGUAUGUGUUGUGUUGUUCUCACUGGGCUGGCACAGUUACAGCCAAAGGCUAUGUUUACAAAAAGAAAUUAAUGAUUCAAAGAAGAGGAGCAGAGGGUGUACGAUAUUUACCUCAAGGUCGUGCAAGCAUCGCCUCCUCCCGGUCUUCGGCACUCCUGGAGGAAUUGAGCGCCAGUGUGGUCGAGCCACAUAGAACACCAACAAGUGACAACACACCAUCCCAGUCUGGGGAAUGACAAGAACGUGGCUUGGUUUACAUGAUGUUCAUACUACGGAUUGUGGAGGCAUGGUUUCCGUCAAGGAGUGGUGGCGCAGCAACGCUUCCGGGAGGUCGCAAUCUCGAACGGCCCUUGUUUUCCUUAUGCUUCUUAUCUAUUGGGAAAUCUAGAACGAGCGAAAUGCUCGGGUGUUCCGCAACAACGCGAUUCCGUCCGGUGUGCUUGUGACACACAUAGAAGCGGAGGCAUCGUUGUGGUGCCUUGCCGAGCGAAAUAUCUGUGUAAUAAUGCUGCGAGAGCGAUGCUUGUAAUUUGGCCUUUGACCUAGAUUCUUAAAACCUUCUUAUUAUUAAACGAAAUGCCAAGCAUUUU
Long non-coding RNA from Triticum aestivum (bread wheat), 677 nucleotides. RefSeq lists it as uncharacterized. NCBI's taxonomy places the organism in Eukaryota, Viridiplantae, Streptophyta, Magnoliopsida, Poales, Poaceae. The transcript has 3 exons. The record is from RefSeq and is a predicted model, not a curated record.